Long non-coding RNA from Xiphophorus couchianus (Monterrey platyfish), 297 nucleotides. RefSeq lists it as uncharacterized. The record is from RefSeq and is a predicted model, not a curated record. The transcript is spliced from 2 exons. NCBI's taxonomy places the organism in Eukaryota, Metazoa, Chordata, Actinopteri, Cyprinodontiformes, Poeciliidae.
ACAUAAUUUUAUGUUACCAAACAAAAAAUUGAUCCUCCACCGGGUUGAGGAUACAUCACUGGGUUGGUGUAUCCUCCAUCAACCCGGUGCGGGUGAUGUGAGACAGAAGACUUUAGCUAAAAUAACAUCACUUUUGGACAAUGUCUCCCCCCUCAUCCAUGAAGCUGCUGCACUGUCAGAUCUUCACCCUAGUGCAAAUCUGCAUGCUUCAACUUGUCCAUCGUGUUUCUGCUGGCACACCUGAACUUCCCCUGUCGAAGGACAAUAAAGGCUUUUUCUAGUGUAUUCUAUUCUGAA